GCGGAGGAGCAUGUAGGUUUAUUCGAUGAUACGCGAGGAACGUACCUGGGCUCGAACGUAAGAUGACUGUAGGUGAAAGCUUACAUCUCUUCGGAGCAUUUUACGAGGUGCUGCAUGGUUGUCGUCAGCUCGUGCCGUGAGGUGUCGGGUUAAGUCCCAUAACGAGCGCAACCCCUACCUUUAGUUGCCAUCAGGUUAAGCUGGGGACUCUAAAGGAACUGCCUACGCAAGUAGUGAGGAAGGCGGGGAUGACGUCAAAUCAGCACGGCCCUUACGUCCAGGGCUACACACGUGCUACAAUGGCCGAUACAGAGGGCAGCUACCUGGUGACAGGAUGCAAAUCUCCAAAGUCGGUCUCAGUUCGGAUCGGAGUCUGCAACCCGACUCCGUGAAGUUGGAUUCGCUAGUAAUCGCGCAUCAGCCAUGGCGCGGUGAAUACGUUCCCGGGCCUU
Molecule: ribosomal RNA, 452 nt
Filed under: uncultured Sphingobacteriales bacterium
Lineage: Bacteria; Pseudomonadati; Bacteroidota; Sphingobacteriia; Sphingobacteriales
Description: bacterial SSU rRNA
Rfam family: Bacterial small subunit ribosomal RNA
Source: RNAcentral